CUGGGUAUACUUUACAGGAUCACUUCUGUAGUUAGUCUUCAUUUAAAUUUUUUUUGAAAUCGACCCGCGAUGACGAGGUUUAUCGUUUUAUCUGACAGCGGGAGGUUUAUGAACUUCAUUUCUAAUAUUGUGUUGUGGCAUAUAAGAAAUGAUGUUUCUUCGAAAAUCGCUCGCUUACAACGGAUAAAACGACUUCUGAGUGGU
This 204-nucleotide small nucleolar RNA is filed under the name Bactrocera tryoni. Its description in RNAcentral is "small nucleolar RNA U3". It matches the Rfam family "Small nucleolar RNA U3". Rfam says of the family: Small nucleolar RNAs (snoRNAs) are involved in the processing and modification of rRNA in the nucleolus. There are two main classes of snoRNAs: the box C/D class, and the box H/ACA class. U3 snoRNA is a member of the box C/D class. The record is from RNAcentral. Lineage: Eukaryota; Metazoa; Arthropoda; Insecta; Diptera; Tephritidae.